Molecule: ribosomal RNA, 897 nt
Filed under: Coniochaeta ligniaria
Lineage: Eukaryota; Fungi; Ascomycota; Sordariomycetes; Coniochaetales; Coniochaetaceae
Description: LSU rRNA
Rfam family: Eukaryotic large subunit ribosomal RNA
Source: RNAcentral
GCAUAUCAAUAAGCGGAGGAAAAAGAAACCAACAGGGAUUGCCCCCAGUAACGGCGAGUGAAGCGGCAACAGCUCAAAUUUGAAAUCUGGCUUCGGCCCGAGUUGUAAUUUGUAGAGGAUGCUUUUGGUGAGGUGCCUUCUGAGUUCCCUGGAACGGGACGCCAGAGAGGGUGAGAGCCCCGUAUAGUCGGCCACCGAUCCUCUGUAAAGCUCCUUCGACGAGUCGAGUAGUUUGGGAAUGCUGCUCUAAAUGGGAGGUAUAUCUCUUCUAAAGCUAAAUAUAGGCCAGAGACCGAUAGCGCACAAGUAGAGUGAUCGAAAGAUGAAAAGCACUUUGAAAAGAGGGUUAAAUAGCACGUGAAAUUGUUGAAAGGGAAGCGCUUGUGACCAGACUUGUGCCGGGCUGAUCAUCCAGUGUUCUCACUGGUGCACUCGACCCGGCUCAGGCCAGCGUCGGUUCUCGUAGGGGGAUAAAAGCUUCGGGAACGUGGCACCUUCGGGUGUGUUAUAGCCCGUUGCUCAAUACCCCUGUGGGGACCGAGGUUCGCGCUCUGCAAGGACGCUGGCAUAAUGGUCAUCAGCGACCCGUCUUGAAACACGGACCAAGGAGUCGAGGUUUUGCGCGAGUGUUUGGGUGUAAAACCCGCACGCGUAAUGAAAGUGAACGUAGGUGAGAGCUUCGGCGCAUCAUCGACCGAUCCUGAUGUAUUCGGAUGGAUUUGAGUAAGAGCGUAUAGCCUCGGACCCGAAAGAUGGUGAACUAUGCCUGAAUAGGGUGAAGCCAGAGGAAACUCUGGUGGAGGCUCGCAGCGGUUCUGACGUGCAAAUCGAUCGUCAAAUUUGGGCAUGGGGGGCGAAAGACUAAUCGAACCAUCUAGUAGCUGGUUACCGCCGAAG